Long non-coding RNA from Lycium ferocissimum, 749 nucleotides. RefSeq lists it as uncharacterized. The record is from RefSeq and is a predicted model, not a curated record. The transcript is spliced from 2 exons. NCBI's taxonomy places the organism in Eukaryota, Viridiplantae, Streptophyta, Magnoliopsida, Solanales, Solanaceae.
UCGAGUCGCUGAGGUUUUUUUUUUUCCGCAUCUUAAGAUCCGCUAUCUCUAUGAUUUGAUUCUUCGCGUAUCAGACGCAUACUUAUUUGGUCUCCAUUUUACCUAACGUAAGAAAGUGACACAUGCUUGGCAGACUUUUUUCAAAUUUGACGGUCAUGGACGAGGCUAACAGCCAUGUACCUGAAAGCACUUUUGCUUUCAACCGCCAAAUGGUAAGGCACCUCCCUCUUUUCUCUCGCAAUCACAAUAGUUGUAAAGUCGAGUGUUUAAGUUAGACUGGGUAUAACAGUCGAACUAUCAAAAAGAUUUGCUACAAAAGAAUUAGGAGUUAUAACAUGGGAAAAAUACAUAGGUUAGCCCCUAAACUUGUCUGGAAAAGUCAUUUACACACCUUAACUUUCCGGGCGACGUAUCACCCCCCCUUAUGUUUGUUCGAAAUGAUAUAUUACACUAAUCUCCCAUUGUAGCUACCACCAUACGCCAACCAACAAGGAUUAAAGCCAUUGACCUCUAAUUUGAUGGAACAACUUGCAAGACACCCAUGUUUUUUGACAACCAAAUAUCAAUAGAACGGGACUGUGAAGAGUCCCACAUCGAGCAUAAAAGAAAUGGAUGGUCUCUUUACAUGGCUCAGGCAAUCCUCACCUCUAUAGAUAGCUUUUGGGAUUGAGUUAGUCCCAAGAUCCAUUUCUUUACAGAGAGUACAGUGAGAAAAAUAAAUAAACAAACUUGAAAAUUGAUCCGAAAAA